GGGAGUUUGGUGCGCGGAUGAGCGGUAAUGCGGCGGGGGUGAGACUGUGUCGGACUAUCUGGGCGUAACGGGUGCGUAGGCGGCUAUCUUUGUCAGGUGGGAAAGCCCCAGGCUCAACCUGGGAAUUGCACUUGGGACUGGGUAGCUUGAGGUCGGGAGAGGAGAGUGGAAUUCCCAGUGUAGAGGUGAAAUUCGUAGAUAUUGGGAAGAACACCGGUGGCGAAGGCGGCUCUCUGGACCGAUACUGACGCUGAGGCGCGAAAGCGUGGGGAGCAAACAGGAUUAGAUACCCCGGUAGUC
This 300-nucleotide ribosomal RNA is filed under the name uncultured Bacillus sp. RNAcentral describes it as "bacterial SSU rRNA". The stretch from base 52 to 300 matches the Rfam family "Bacterial small subunit ribosomal RNA", at positions 547 to 795 of the family's 1533-position model. The record is from RNAcentral. Lineage: Bacteria; Bacillati; Bacillota; Bacilli; Caryophanales; Bacillaceae.